GCCCGGUUAGCUCAAUCGGUAGAGCGUGAGACUUUUAAUCUCAAGGCUGCGGGUUCGACCCCCGCAUCGGGCA
RNAcentral lists this transfer RNA (73 nucleotides) under Stachybotrys chartarum IBT 7711. Its description in RNAcentral is "tRNA-Lys (TTT) (tRNA-Lys-TTT-1-1)". It matches the Rfam family "tRNA". From Rfam's summary of the family: Transfer RNA (tRNA) molecules are approximately 80 nucleotides in length. Their secondary structure includes four short double-helical elements and three loops (D, anti-codon, and T loops). RNAcentral also lists the same sequence under 3 other names. The record is from RNAcentral. Lineage: Eukaryota; Fungi; Ascomycota; Sordariomycetes; Hypocreales; Stachybotryaceae.